UACGUAGGUGGCAAGCGUUUGUCCGGAUUUACUGGGCGUAAAGGGCGUGUAGGUGGUAAUGUAAGUCUGGCGUGAAAUUUUUCGGCUUAACCGGGAAAGGUCGUCGGAUACUGCAUCACUAGAGGACGGUAGAGGCGUGUGGAAUUCCGGGUGUAGCGGUGAAAUGCGUAGAUAUCUGAAGGAACAUCAGUGGCGAAAGCGACUUCCUGGACCAAUACUGACGCUCAUGGUGCGAAAAGCGUGGGGAGCAAA
Molecule: ribosomal RNA, 252 nt
Filed under: uncultured bacterium
Lineage: Bacteria
Description: partial 16S ribosomal RNA
Rfam family: Bacterial small subunit ribosomal RNA
Source: RNAcentral